This is a long non-coding RNA of Myotis brandtii (Brandt's bat), 575 nucleotides long. RefSeq lists it as uncharacterized. The transcript is spliced from 2 exons. The record is from RefSeq and is a predicted model, not a curated record. Lineage: Eukaryota; Metazoa; Chordata; Mammalia; Chiroptera; Vespertilionidae.
UCUGAAUCUUAGUGAUGGAAGAAUUUGUUGAGGGACAUACUGUACGAGCCUUGAGAGUAAUGGAGCAUGGAGGACAAAGUGAAGAGGCAGCUUUUUCCCAAACCCACUUUCAAAUGGUGCAACCACUAGACUGAUCCAGUAUAAAACUUGCUCAAAAGUUUAUGAAGUUUCAAUAAACUGAAACAGGGUCCCCUGGAGUGAGCAUGCAUUUGACAGAGGCAGGUAGGUAAAUUACAGUACAGUGAUGGAAUUGCAGAGAAGCCCUGGUCUUGGCACUUUCCGAACCUGAGAUUGUUUCCAAAGACUUGAAUUGGUCGUGAUUGCAGUGAGCUGCAGUUCCCACAGGUGCUUCCUGUGGCCCACAGGAAGUCCUCUGUUUCAUGUGAAGUUUUAAACUUUUGUACUGGAUAGAUGACCUCUUCAUAGGUCAUAUUACUUGGUUAUUUUCAACUUGCUGUUCAGAUUUAACUAUGUUACUCGAUAUUCCCUGGUAAAUCAACUGCUUAUUCAUUUAAAAACAUAAUUGCAUAGCAGUACAGGAAUGCUAUUUCUAAUAAAGUUGUGCUCAUAAUCAC